RNAcentral lists this long non-coding RNA (1449 nucleotides) under Heterocephalus glaber (naked mole-rat). Its description in RNAcentral is "lncRNA (ENSHGLG00000037257.1)". Lineage: Eukaryota; Metazoa; Chordata; Mammalia; Rodentia; Bathyergidae. The record is from RNAcentral.
CCGCUGGCCUUUUUCCCCCCCUCUCCCUACCCCGCCCUGGGCGCCUGUGGCGCGCGCCGAUGACGCUAGAAAGGAAGAGGAAGUCGAGGAUCCGCGAGCGGGUGGGUGCGCCUCGGGCUGCGGGAGUCUCUGCUGCCGCUGCCGCCACCGCUGCCGCCUCUACGGCCGCGUCAGAACUGAAGAGAGGAAGGGGAGGAGCCCAGCUGAGCCUAAACUGCCGCCUGAUCUUACCCCUGACCCGAGGGCCGCAGAGAGAGUUUGCUCUGUAGCGGUUUCCUCCGAGGCAGGUAGCGACUGCUCCUUUGGGAACAAGAAGGAGCCAGGCGGUGGGGCCGGGCUGGGGCGCGCACCACCCCAAGGUGAGGCAUGUGGCCCCGGACAGGCCCUGGAAAAGCCAACUCAUGGAGAAGUUGUGCUACUGCCUGAUCGUUGCACCUGCUCUGGGGAGCGAGCGCCCCGCCCUUCCCGUGGCGUGGGGUGAGACCUAGCGCGGGGUGACUUGCGGUCGGGCCGAGCAAAGGUUUGCUUAAUGAACGAAUGCCUCUUUCGCUUGGCCCUCGCGGAACUCUUCGGAGGAUGAAAGCGCAAGCGCUUUGUAAACUGCAGCGCGUUGGAAAGAUGAGAAUUGCAAUGCACCCGUCCCCUCCCCCGAGCCGUGAAAGGAAACAGGGAAAUUAAUAGAUGAUGUCCUGAUCUGGAGGACUAUGACCCAUCCAUAUGCGCAUGCUAUCUCUGAGGAAAUGCAAGAGCUCAGCGUGGCUGCAUCUAAGGAGGCCACCAGAUGAGAAGGGAAGAAAUCCAGCAUCUCCACCUCAUCAUUAUUUUCAAGUUUCAAGGAGCCCUGUCCACCAUGCUGGGCACAGAUCUAGGCAUUCUGCAAAGAUAUUAAGUCCUGAGUACUGGAUACUACACCUGUUUUGACAUACUCUACCCCAUGGAGUCUUGUGUUCUGCCCUCCUUGAUCCCGCAAUCUUAAGGUUCAUCUCCAGGCACAUCUCUCUGUUACUGGAGCUGCUGUUGGGUCCACUGCUGGUUGAGCUGAAGAGCCAGAGGGGUCUUAUACAUCACAAACAUGGUGACCCCAACCCAGCCCUGUGGAUGGGGGCAUAGAGAAGAGGACUGGGUUGACCCCUGAAAGAUGUCACUACACUUGGAGUGACGCUGCUAUCAGCAAGUGUGUAGAGAUGACCUGUUCCUUUGUCCUUGGAGCGUAUUCUUCAAAGGAGAAUGACUGGGUCUCGGAGCUGGAACAGUUUCCUGAGCUAUUCCUGAGACUGUGAGCUGGGUCUUGCUGACUCUGAGAGAGGAAAUCAGCUACCGGUCUGGCAACUCUCAAGAAUCUCUUCCUUAUCUCCCUGAUAUCCUUUUGAAGUCAUGGCCUCAGGGGGACACUGAGGCCCAGAGAAGUAGAGCAGGUCAGCUGAUGGCAGAGCCAGAGCCCUGUGGGAG